AGAACGAACGCUGGCGGCAGGCUUAACACAUGCAAGUCGAGCGCCCCGCAAGGGGAGCGGCAGACGGGUGAGUAACGCGUGGGAAUCUACCCAUCUCUACGGAACAACUCCGGGAAACUGGAGCUAAUACCGUAUACGCCCUUCGGGGAAAGAUUUAUCGGAGAUGGAUGAGCCCGCGUUGGAUUAGCUAGUUGGUGGGGUAAAGGCCUACCAAGGCGACGAUCCAUAGCUGGUCUGAGAGGAUGAUCAGCCACACUGGGACUGAGACACGGCCCAGACUCCUACGGGAGGCAGCAGUGGGGAAUAUUGGACAAUGGGCGCAAGCCUGAUCCAGCCAUGCCGCGUGAGUGAUGAAGGCCCUAGGGUUGUAAAGCUCUUUCAACGGUGAAGAUAAUGACGGUAACCGUAGAAGAAGCCCCGGCUAACUUCGUGCCAGCAGCCGC
RNAcentral lists this ribosomal RNA (443 nucleotides) under uncultured bacterium. RNAcentral describes it as "SSU rRNA". It matches the Rfam family "Bacterial small subunit ribosomal RNA", at positions 26 to 518 of the family's 1533-position model. The record is from RNAcentral.